RNAcentral lists this ribosomal RNA (280 nucleotides) under uncultured soil bacterium. RNAcentral's name for it is "partial 16S ribosomal RNA". It matches the Rfam family "Bacterial small subunit ribosomal RNA", at positions 26 to 334 of the family's 1533-position model. The record is from RNAcentral.
AGAACGAACGCUGGCGGCAUGCCUAAUACAUGCAAGUCGAACGAGAUCUUCGGGUCUAGUGGCGCACGGGUGCGUAACGCGUGGGAAUCUACCCUUGGGUUCGGAAUAACAGUUGGAAACGACUGCUAAUACCGGAUGAUGACGAAAGUCCAAAGAUUUAUCGCCCAAGGAUGAGCCCGCGUAGGAUUAGCUAGUUGGUGAGGUAAAGGCUCACCAAGGCUACGAUCCUUAGCUGGUCUGAGAGGAUGAUCAGCCACACUGGGACUGAGACACGGCCCAG